GACGAACGCUGGCGGCAUGCCUAAUACAUGCAAGUCGAGCGAACAGAUGAAGUGCUUGCACUUCUGACGUUAGCGGCGAACGGGUGAGUAACACGUAAGGAAUCUACCUAUAAGCGGGGGAUAACAUUCGGAAACGGGUGCUAAUACCGCAUAAUAUCUUCUUCCGCAUGGAAGAAGAUUGAAAGACGGCUCUGCUGUCACUUAUAGAUGACCUUGCGGUGCAUUAGUUAGUUGGUGGGGUAACGGCCUACCAAGACGAUGAUGCAUAGCCGACCUGAGAGGGUGAUCGGCCACAUUGGGACUGAGACACGGCCCAAACUCCUACGGGAGGCAGCAGUAGGGAAUCUUCCGCAAUGGGCGAAAGCCUGACGGAGCGAUGCCGCGUGAGUGGAGAAGGCCUUCGGGUCGUAAAACUCUGUUAUAAGAGAAGAACAAAUUGUAGAGUAACUGCUACAGUCUUGACGGUAUCUUAUCAGAAAGCCACGGCUAACUACGUGCCAGCCGCCGCCGUAA
This 513-nucleotide ribosomal RNA is filed under the name uncultured bacterium. Its description in RNAcentral is "partial 16S ribosomal RNA". It matches the Rfam family "Bacterial small subunit ribosomal RNA", at positions 28 to 523 of the family's 1533-position model. The record is from RNAcentral.